AUCUACAGCCAUACCACCCUGAACACUCCUGAUCUCCUCUGAUCUUGAAAGCUAAGCAGGGUUGGUCCUACUUAGUACUUGGAUGGGAGAAAGAGAGAGACAGAGAGACCACAGCUC
Molecule: ribosomal RNA, 117 nt
Filed under: Erinaceus europaeus (western European hedgehog)
Lineage: Eukaryota; Metazoa; Chordata; Mammalia; Eulipotyphla; Erinaceidae
Source: RNAcentral